Non-coding RNA from Salmonella enterica subsp. enterica serovar Newport, 108 nucleotides. NCBI's taxonomy places the organism in Bacteria, Pseudomonadati, Pseudomonadota, Gammaproteobacteria, Enterobacterales, Enterobacteriaceae. The record is from Rfam.
AGUGCUUCAAUGUGAACAUUAAGCACCACAUUGGUGCAAUAGAACGCAAGCCACCCUUUUAACGCUCCGUGAAAGCGAUCACAAAGAGACUCUGCAAUACUUGUUUGC